This 279-nucleotide unclassified non-coding RNA is filed under the name Hevea brasiliensis (rubber tree). Lineage: Eukaryota; Viridiplantae; Streptophyta; Magnoliopsida; Malpighiales; Euphorbiaceae. The record is from RNAcentral.
AAAACACCGAAAUCUCUGAUUGGCCUGGAAAUGCCACAAGCUUUUUUUUGUAAAGGUCUUAAGAGGAAUGAUGUGGUUAACUAUGCAUUAUCUGGGAAUUAUAUGCUUGAGCAUUAAAAUAGUAUGGUUUUGAGGAUCAGAAGAACCAACAUGACAAAGCACAUGAUAAUGAGCACGGAUGCGCACAUCACCAUCCCUCCUUGUUUCUGUGUUCUCUCUGCCUUUUGCAGUUGCUUAAGGCCCUCAUCGACGGUCGUUGCAACAUUUUGAAUAUUGUAA